GAGUGAAGAAGGGUUUCGGCUCGUAAAACUCUGUUGUUAAAGAAGAACAUAUCUGAGAGUAACUGUUCAGGUAUUGACGGUAUUUAACCAGAAAGCCACGGCUAACUACGUGCCAGCAGCCGCGGUAAUACGUAGGUGGCAAGCGUUGUCCGGAUUUAUUGGGCGUAAAGCGAGCGCAGGCGGUUUUUUAAGUCUGAUGUGAAAGCCUUCGGCUCAACCGAAGAAGUGCAUCGGAAACUGGGAAACUUGAGUGCAGAAGAGGACAGUGGAACUCCAUGUGUAGCGGUGAAAUGCGUAGAUAUAUGGAAGAACACCAGUGGCGAAGGCGGCUGUCUGGUCUGUAACUGACGCUGAGGCUCGAAAGUAUGGGUAGCAAACAGGAUUAGAUACCCUGGUAGUCCAUACCGUAAACGAUGAAUGCUAAGUGUUGGAGGGUUUCCGCCCUUCAGUGCUGCAGCUAACGCAUUAAGCAUUCCGCCUGGGGAGUACGGCCGCAAGGCUGAAACUCAAAGGAAUUGACGGGGGCCCGCACAAGCGGUGGAGCAUGUGGUUUAAUUCGAAGCUACGCGAAGAACCUUACCAGGUCUUGACAUACUAUGCAAAUCUAAGAGAUUAGACGUUCCCUUCGGGGACAUGGAUACAGGUGGUGCAUGGUUGUCGUCAGCUCGUGUCGUGAGAUGUUGGGUUAAGUCCCGCAACGAGCGCAACCCUUAUUAUCAGUUGCCAGCAUUAAGUUGGGCACUCUGGUGAGACUGCCGGUGACAAACCGGAGGAAGGUGGGGAUGACGUCAAAUCAUCAUGCCCCUUAUGACUGGGCUAC
RNAcentral lists this ribosomal RNA (820 nucleotides) under Lactiplantibacillus plantarum. Its description in RNAcentral is "bacterial SSU rRNA". It matches the Rfam family "Bacterial small subunit ribosomal RNA", at positions 401 to 1217 of the family's 1533-position model. Lineage: Bacteria; Bacillati; Bacillota; Bacilli; Lactobacillales; Lactobacillaceae. The record is from RNAcentral.